AUGAAAGGAGGCAAGGCGAUGGGCCCUGAUUGUAUCCCCAUUGAGGUGUGGAAAGGUCUCGGGGACAUAGCGAUAGUAUGGCUAACCAAGCUUUUCAACCUCAUUUUUUGGGCAAACAAGAUGCCAGAAGAAUGGAGACGGAGUAUAUUAGUACCAAUCUUCAAGAACGAGGGGGAUGUUCAGAGUUGUACUAAUUACCGUGGAAUUAAGCUGAUGAGCCAUACAAUGAAGCUAUGGGAGAGAGUCAUUGAGCACCGCUUAAGAAGAAUGACAAGCGUGACCAAAAAUCAGUUUGGUUUCAUGCCUGGGAGGUCGACCAUGGAAGCCAUUUUCUUGGUACGACAACUUAUGAAGAGAUAUAGGGAGCAUAAGAAGGACUUGCAUAUGGUGUUCAUUGACUUGGAGAAGGCCUAUGAUAAGAUACCGCGGAAUGUCAUGUGGUGGGCUUUGGAGAAACACAAAGUCCCAACAAAGUACAUUACCCUCAUCAAGGACAUGUACAAUAAUAUUGUGACAAGUGUUCGAACAAGUGAUGUCGACACCGAUGACUUCCCGAUUAAGAUAGGACUGCAUCAGGGGUCAGCUUUGAGCCCUUAUCUUUUUGCAUUGGUGAUGGAUGAGGUCACAAGGGGUAUACAAGGAGAUAUCCCAUGGUGUAUGCUCUUUGCGGAUGAUGUGGUGCUAGUUGACGAUAGUCGGACGGGGGUAAAUAGGAAGUUAGAGUUAUGGAGACAAACCUUGGAAUCGAAAGGGUUUAGGCUUAGUAGAACUAAAACCGAGUACAUGAUGUGCGGUUUCAGUACUACUAGCUGUGAGGAGGAGGAGGUUAGCCUUGAUGGCCAGGUGGUACCUCGGAAGGACACCUUUCGGUAUUUGGGGUCAAUGUUGCAGGAGGAUGGGGGUAUUGAUGAAGAUGUGAACCAUCGAAUCAAAGCCGGAUGGAUGAAGUGGCGCCAAGCUUCUGGCAUUCUCUAUGACAAGAGAGUGCCACAAAAGCUAAAAGGCAAGUUCUACAGGACAACGGUUCGACCCGCAAUGUUGUAUGGCGCGGAGUGUUGGCCGACUAAAAGGCGACAUGUUCAACAGUUAGGUGUGGCGGAGAUGCGUAUGUUGAGAUGGAUGUGUGGCCACACGAGGAAGGAUCGAGUCCGGAAUGAUGAUAUACGAGAUAGAGUUGGGGUAGCACCAAUUGAGGAGAAGCUUGUCCAACAUCGUUUGAGAUGGUUUGGGCAUAUUCAGCGCAGGCCUCCAGAAGCUCCAGUGCAUAGCGGACGGCUAAAGCGUGCGGAGAAUGUCAAGAGAGGGCGGGGUCGACCGAUUUUGACAUGGGAGGAGUCCGUUAAGAGAGACCUGAAGGAUUGGAGUAUCGACAAAGAGCUAGCUAUGGACAGGGGUGCGUGUAAGCUUGCUAUCCAUGUGCCAGACCCAUGA
This 1431-nucleotide ribosomal RNA is filed under the name Triticum aestivum (bread wheat). RNAcentral describes it as "partial small subunit ribosomal RNA". Lineage: Eukaryota; Viridiplantae; Streptophyta; Magnoliopsida; Poales; Poaceae. The record is from RNAcentral.